This 253-nucleotide ribosomal RNA is filed under the name uncultured bacterium. Its description in RNAcentral is "partial 16S ribosomal RNA". It matches the Rfam family "Bacterial small subunit ribosomal RNA", at positions 524 to 776 of the family's 1533-position model. The record is from RNAcentral.
UACAGGGGGUGCAAACGUUGCUCGGAAUCAUUGGGCGUAAAGCGCACGUAGGCGGUUUGUUAUGUCGGAUGUGAAAGCCCUUGGCUCAACUGAGGAAGUGCAUCCGAAACUGGCAAGCUAGAGUACUAAAGAGGGUCGCGGAAUUCCCGGUGUAGAGGUGAAAUUCGUAGAUAUCGGGAGGAACACCGGUGGCGAAGGCGGCGACCUGGGUAGAUACUGACGCUGAGGUGCGAAAGCGUGGGGAGCGAACAGG